AGGUGUGAUUAAGUGAGUAUAACGUCUUGCAGAUUAGAAACGCAUAUCGAAAAAAAGGAUAUCAGAGUCUUUUUAAACUCGCGCAUGAUUACGCAGGGUUUUGCAUAUGAACGCAUAAAGCCCUUUUUAGGCAGUCAGUAUGACCUCUUGAAAACUGUGUUGACUGUGGUCCCAGAAAAUAUAUUACUAAUGGACAUCCGAGCCGGAUAAAACAGAUCAGACAUCAUAAAACGCGCCACGGUUUUUUUUAAAUACAGUCAUCUCUUAAAAAUUUUUGAUAUUGUUUUAAAAGCAAAACUCGGCUUUGGGAAUUAUCUGGUACAUGACUGUAAAACGGAACAAAGGCAGUGACACCUGCUGAACGUUGGCAGUAGCGACUGCCAUUACGAAACUGACGACAACCAGCAGAUAACGGUUCGUCACAUGCGCGUCAGCUCUUAGUCCAGAGCGUCCUCCAACCUCCGAAAUAGAUAGACGCUAGAGAGGAGCGAAUGCGUCGUUUGCUGAUAGCGAGCGCACGGGCAGCCACGCGUUCGAAUGUCGUAUCGUUUGAACCGUGGUAUUUGGGAUCUACAGCUGACACAAUAUAACUCAAUUAAAAAAAUUCAUUUUUUGAA
This 617-nucleotide long non-coding RNA is filed under the name Neodiprion pinetum (white pine sawfly). RNAcentral describes it as "uncharacterized LOC124220653". The record is from RNAcentral. Lineage: Eukaryota; Metazoa; Arthropoda; Insecta; Hymenoptera; Diprionidae.